GGGAGUAGUCGGGGGGUUAGAGGUCCCUUUCCUUUGAAGCAAUUCGAAGGUUCAGCAAAUCCUCUUCAUGGCUGGACUCAAAACUUGGCUAGGAGUUGAAACUACGCUUAAAGUUCAGAUGUGGAUUCCGUCGAACUCGUGCCCAUCGCUAUGCUUUUUUUAGUGAAUCAGGCCAGGCGGGGAACUGAGCAACCUUAAAUUAGAAAGUGCAUGUUCGGUGGAUACAUGGGGGAGGGAUUAUGUUUGAAUUUUAAACGCAAGCCUCUUCAAACCAAGUAACUCCC
RNAcentral lists this unclassified non-coding RNA (284 nucleotides) under uncultured archaeon. RNAcentral's name for it is "Bacteria_large_SRP". The stretch from base 135 to 234 matches the Rfam family "Bacterial small signal recognition particle RNA". The record is from RNAcentral.